UAAAAAGUCCGCUAUCUGGUAGCGUAUUUCGCAAGCGACUCAAUCUCUACAUAAAUCCAUUCUCGCCCGAACUUCACUCUCUCAAUCUCAGGCUCACCUUUCGUUUAUGGUUGUAUCAUUUCCCCAGAUUAUAAAAGUCAUGGACAAGAAAUGUAUUUGACCGGAGGAGAGUACUUUGUAAAAUUGCUUUGGUUAAUUAAAUGGCACAACGCAAUGCUUCUGGUAUGGCAUUGAAAUUGCUUUGCCGACCGAAAAGUGAAUGACUGAAGAUGCGGUCAAAUGAGAAAUCUCAAUGCUUGUACAUGAUCACAUAGCUAGGCGAGUCAGUGACUCCAGACGGUGAGACAUGGCAUGACACUUGGGCGGUGGAGGUCAAAUCAAAGAUUGAGUUGGUGGCUAAUAAGAAAACUUCAUUGUAGAGCCAAUGAACUUCUGACGCGCAGCAAGCGACGCAUCAUGGUAUGGAAUUUAAUGUACCUUAUUAACAGAAUCAUAAGUAAGAGAAAAAAAGCUAUCUUCAUCGUCUGUAAAUAGCGAUGAAAUCGUCAUGCAAGGAAGAAUGUGCCAAGAGAAGAAUCAAGAGUACAAAUUCUGUCAAAAUGAGCCCUUUCUCUUACAUCCAUUCAAAAACCUUAGUGAAAGCUUUGGUUUCCUGUGGGAGUAGAAGAGGAACUCCAUCUUUCCAUACCUACAGUAAAAUAGUCAUUGCAGAAGUCGAGGGAAACAAGAAAUUGUGCACCACAGCUUGACUCCCUUUCUUUAUUCUUUAUCUUAAAGCGUAUUUGUAUUGUUUAACAUUGCAAAGAAUCAUUUCUUUAAUGAAUACAUAUUUAGUCUGACUUUCA
Long non-coding RNA from Benincasa hispida (wax gourd), 845 nucleotides. RefSeq lists it as uncharacterized. The record is from RefSeq and is a predicted model, not a curated record. NCBI's taxonomy places the organism in Eukaryota, Viridiplantae, Streptophyta, Magnoliopsida, Cucurbitales, Cucurbitaceae.